GAUGAACGCUAGCUACAGGCUUAACACAUGCAAGUCGAGGGGAAACGAUGAGAGAGCUUGCUCUCUUAGGCGUCGACCGGCGCACGGGUGAGUAACGCGUAUCCAACCUACCCAUUACAGGGGGAUAACCUUGCGAAAGUAAGACUAAUACCCCAUGGCAUUUUAUGGUGGCAUCAUUAUAGGAUUAAAGAUUUAUUGGUAAUGGAUGGGGAUGCGUCUGAUUAGCUUGUUGGCGGGGUAACGGCCCACCAAGGCAACGAUCAGUAGGGGUUCUGAGAGGAAGGUCCCCCACAUUGGAACUGAGACACGGUCCAAACUCCUACGGGAGGCAGCAGUGAGGAAUAUUGGUCAAUGGGCGAGAGCUUGAACCAGCCAAGUAGCGUGCAGGAGGACGGCCCUAUGGGCUGUAAACUGCUUUUAUAGGGGAAUAAAGUGAGCUACGUGUAGUUUAUUGCAUGUACCCUAUGAAUAAGAACCGGCUAAUUCCGUG
RNAcentral lists this ribosomal RNA (490 nucleotides) under uncultured bacterium. RNAcentral describes it as "partial 16S ribosomal RNA". It matches the Rfam family "Bacterial small subunit ribosomal RNA", at positions 28 to 507 of the family's 1533-position model. The record is from RNAcentral.